UGGGGAAUCUUGGACAAUGGGGGCAACCCUGAUCCAGCCAUGCCGCGUGAGUGAUGAAGGCCUUAGGGUCGUAAAGCUCUUUCGCCUGUGAAGAUAAUGACGGUAGCAGGUAAAGAAACCCCGGCUAACUCCGUGCCAGCAGCCGCGGUAAUACGGAGGGGGCAAGCGUUGUUCGGAAUUACUGGGGCGUAAAGGGCGUGUAGGCGGUCUAAUCAGUCAGUGGUGAAAGCCCUGGGCUCAACCCAGGAAUUGCCUUUGAUACUGGUUGGGCUAGAGUUCGGGAGAGGGUAGUGGAAUUGCCCAGUGUAGAGGUGAAAUUCGUAGAUAUUUGGAGGAACACCAGUGGCGAAGGCGGCUCACUGGCUCGAUACUGACGCUGAGGUGCGAAAGUGUGGGGAAGCAAACAGGAUUAGAUACCCUGGUAGUCCACACCGUAAAACGAUGAAUGCCAGUCGUCGGGUAGCAUGCUAUUCGGUGACACACCUAACGGAUUAAGCAUUCCGCCU
RNAcentral lists this ribosomal RNA (506 nucleotides) under uncultured bacterium. Its description in RNAcentral is "bacterial SSU rRNA". It matches the Rfam family "Bacterial small subunit ribosomal RNA", at positions 355 to 874 of the family's 1533-position model. The record is from RNAcentral.